GGUGGGAUCACCCGCUGAACUUAGCAUAUCAA
RNAcentral lists this ribosomal RNA (32 nucleotides) under Bartalinia robillardoides. RNAcentral describes it as "partial 28S ribosomal RNA". The record is from RNAcentral. Lineage: Eukaryota; Fungi; Ascomycota; Sordariomycetes; Amphisphaeriales; Sporocadaceae.